GACGAACGCUGGCGGCGUGCCUAAUACAUGCAAGUUGAGCGGUGAAGAUUGGUGCUUGCACCAAUUUGAAGAGCAGCGAACGGGUGAGUAACGCGUGGGGAAUCUGCCUCUGAGCGGGGGACAACAUUUGGAAACGAAUGCUAAUACCGCAUAACAACUUUAAACAUAAGUUUUAAGUUUGAAAGAUGCAAUUGCAUCACUCAAAGAUGAUCCCGCGUUGUAUUAGCUAGUUGGUGAGGUAAAGGCUCACCAAGGCGAUGAUACAUAGCCGACCUGAGAGGGUGAUCGGCCACAUUGGGACUGAGACACGGCCCAAACUCCUACGGGAGGCAGCAGUAGGGAAUCUUCGGCAAUGGACGAAAGUCUGACCGAGCAACGCCGCGUGAGUGAAGAAGGUUUUCGGAUCGUAAAACUCUGUUGGUAGAGAAGAACGUUGGUGAGAGUGGAAAGCUCAUCAAGUGACGGUAACUACCCAGAAAGGGACGGCUAACUACGUG
Molecule: ribosomal RNA, 497 nt
Filed under: uncultured bacterium
Lineage: Bacteria
Description: partial 16S ribosomal RNA
Rfam family: Bacterial small subunit ribosomal RNA
Source: RNAcentral